UAAACGUUGAACGAAAACGCAUCACAUAGAGCAUUGCAAGGAUUACUGUAAGGACUUUUGUUCGUUAUUCAUGGUUAUGACUUUGAAGAGCGGGAGAAGCAGUUUAUUUCUUUCUAAGCAGGAUGGCACAAGGAAAAUUGUAUUCACCCUGUUGUGUUUGUGGUGUGCUAUUCAUUCUACAACUAGAGUUGGUGCUUCAACAACGGAGUCUACAACUUCAGGAUAUACAGCUUCAGAAACAACAACUGUACUUGCCACUUCAACAUCAGCAACAUC
Molecule: long non-coding RNA, 276 nt
Organism: Sinocyclocheilus anshuiensis
Lineage: Eukaryota; Metazoa; Chordata; Actinopteri; Cypriniformes; Cyprinidae
Exons: 4
Source: RefSeq, a predicted model, not a curated record